UACGUAGGGGGCGAGCGUUGUCCGGAAUUAUUGGGCGUAAAGAGCGUGUAGGCGGUUCGGUAAGUCUGCUGUGAAAUCUUGGGGCUCAACCCUGAGCGUGCAGCGGAUACUGCCGGGCUAGAGGGUGGUAGAGGCGAGUGGAAUUCCGAGUGUAGCGGUGAAAUGCGCAGAUAUUCGGAGGAACACCAGUAGCGAAGGCGGCUCGCUGGGCCACACCUGACGCUGAGACGCGAAAGCGUGGGGAGCGAACAGG
RNAcentral lists this ribosomal RNA (253 nucleotides) under uncultured bacterium. Its description in RNAcentral is "partial 16S ribosomal RNA". It matches the Rfam family "Bacterial small subunit ribosomal RNA", at positions 524 to 776 of the family's 1533-position model. The record is from RNAcentral.